This 81-nucleotide transfer RNA is filed under the name Streptococcus pneumoniae. RNAcentral describes it as "tRNA-Tyr(gta)". It matches the Rfam family "tRNA". Rfam says of the family: Transfer RNA (tRNA) molecules are approximately 80 nucleotides in length. Lineage: Bacteria; Bacillati; Bacillota; Bacilli; Lactobacillales; Streptococcaceae. The record is from RNAcentral.
GGAGAGAUAGCGAAGAGGCUAAACGCGGCGGACUGUAAAUCCGCUCCUUCGGGUUCGGGGGUGCGAAUCCCUCUCUCUCCA